Molecule: unclassified non-coding RNA, 2097 nt
Filed under: Hevea brasiliensis (rubber tree)
Lineage: Eukaryota; Viridiplantae; Streptophyta; Magnoliopsida; Malpighiales; Euphorbiaceae
Source: RNAcentral
UCUCAUUCUUGACAAAAAAAUUGGUACCAAUCUCUCUGUUAUUGUAUGAUUUAUGGGUGUGUGCUCGUAUUACAUAAUUGUUGACUUGCAAUGAUUUUGGCUUUUGCAAGAUAUCCAAGUAAACUUUUAAAAGCUGCUUUACUUCAUGCCUUGGUAUAUUGCUUUAUGUGUAGAGUUUGUUUGUGUUGCAUAAAUGAAAAGCAAGAAAGUUUGUCUAAAGGUUUCUUUCUUCUCACUUUGUGAAUGUUAGGUUGUUCAUGGAGUGUUUUCCUUUUGACAAGAUUUUUUUCUUCUUUAUUUUUUCUUUUAAUUUUUUGCUUUUUAACUCAGAGAAUUGAUAGUCUAGAAUGAUCACAGGAAAAGGAUUUCAUUAUACUUCAAGUCUUAAACACUUUGUUUUAACAGAAAACCUGUCAUAAUAGUUCUAUUGCAGAAUCACUAUGUUAGAGAUCUUGCUAGUUUACAUUCCAAUAUUGUUUUAUAACUUUGUUUGAUCUCAUUUUGGCAAGCUUUUGGCACAAAUGAGCUGCAUAUGUCAGUCAUGGAUAAGGAAACUUGCUCUCUGUUAGUGUCCAUUGAAAAAUCCUGCCAGGAAUAUCCAUUCAAUCAUUUUGAAAUUGUAUUAACCUUAAAGAAAGAUAAUUUUGCAAGCAUUAUCAAAGAAAAUAAGCAUUUGCCUUUAUAAAGAAAUAGAAGAUUGCUAUUUAUUUUUAUAAUGAACUUUGUCAUUCUGUCAAGAUGAUCUGCUGCAUAGGCAAGAUUAUCCAUGCAUAUGCCUGUGUUUGUGUACAUGCACAUAUGGUAUGUGGGUCAAAUAGUGUUAAGCAUCAAGUGCAAGUACACAUAUUUGUCUCGCAAAGAUUUGCGUCAUUAUAAAUGCUGAAGAUUAUGACUGUAUAUGGAUGACCAGCCCAGGACCUUGCUUAUGUGGGACAAGCACUGGUUAAUGGCAUCUCUCCUUUGAGCGCAAGUGUCAUACAUUGCGUGCCCUACAUGUUUACUGGAUAAUAUAUACUGGAAUGAAAGUACUCAUUUCUUGCUUGCAGAUUACUCUGAGUCUACAUCUAAGAGCAGUGUGCCUACCACUGUGGAAACAGCUGGAAAUACUGAAAUUAGGUUGAUAGAUGCACAGCAGAAUGCAGAUUACCUUGAUGAUAAGGUGACAGCUGCUUCCCUUGCACAAAGUAUUGAACAGAAGCCAAGUAACUCUGAAACGAGACUGAAGGAAGUAGCUGAAUCUGUUCCUGUACAAAAUCAAGCUGCGGCCCUUAAACUCCUCCAGAAAAUGAGUAGCUCAAAUCAAGGGCAUAGGCAUUCUAGAGGUCGGAAACAUAAAGGGAAGGGUAAACAAGAAGAGCAUCAGGUUUUCACUCUAGAUGAAUGGGAAAACAGGAAAGUUGGGGCGGAUCCUACAUUGAAAAAUAACCUUCCAGAUGCCAGUGCUGAUGAGGACAUUGCAUGGCAGCUUCAAAACCAACUUGAUGUGGAAGAUUCUCAUGUACAAAUGGGAAUGCAUGACGUGGCGGCUGACAUUAGAAUGAGCAUGUUUAAUUAUGAUAGAGAUUCUUAUAGUGUUCGUGGAAUGGAACAUGGAGGAGGAGGAUGGGGAAAGGGAAGAGGAAGGGGAAGGGGGAGAGGGAGGGGAAGGGGAAGGGGAAGAUCUAAUUAAAUAUAGUUUAACCUCGUUUAUUAUGUUUAUUUACCAUUUUGGUGCUUCAAAUUUGCGAAUCUAUGUAGGAAUUUUCUCUUUGGCCUAGUUGCACUUACCGCUUGGGUGGUUGAAAAAUAGAAUACAGAAUAUGGUUUCCAUGACCUUUUGAUCUGUAAUUUGUUAUGCCACAAGUAUUGGUUUAUUGGUAAAGAACAGAAAAAGAAAGGAGUGUAGAAAAAGGGGGAGAGUCGAAUCAAAAUGGCAAAUCCAUUUUAAUGGAGUGAGUGCAUUUGAAGAAGCUUAAGAAUGUGAGCUUUAUGCUGAUGUUUAUUCCUUCUUCGUCAGAUUGAAAGUUGUCAUUUUGCUUCGCGCAUUAUGUCAAUUAUUAUUUUUUUUAAUAACAUAAUAUAAUACAUAUUUUUUAAUUAUAUUAUAAAAUUUGUUAA